GCUGGGCACGGUGGCGCACGCCUGUAAUCCCAGCCGCUAGGGAGGCUGAGGCAGGAGGAUGGAGAGUUCAAAGUCAGUCUCAGCCAUUUAGAAAGACCCUAACCAACUCAGUGAGACCCUGUCUCAA
This 127-nucleotide small RNA is filed under the name Marmota monax (woodchuck). Lineage: Eukaryota; Metazoa; Chordata; Mammalia; Rodentia; Sciuridae. The record is from RNAcentral.